GUGAGGAAUAUUGGUCAAUGGGCGCGAGCCUGAACCAGCCAAGUAGCGUGAGGGAUGACGGCCUUCGGGUUGUAAACCUCUUUUGUACGGGAAGAAGGAAGUGACGGUACUGUACGAAUAAGUCCCGGCUAACUACGUGCCAGCAGCCGCGGUAAUACGUAGGGGACGAGCGUUGUCCGGAAUUACUGGGCGUAAAGGGCGCGCAGGCUGUGCUGCAAGUCAGCUGUGAAAUGUCUGGGCUUAACCCGGGCAUGCGGUUGAGACUGCAGUGCUGGAGUGCUGUAGAGGCAAGUGGAAUUCCCAGUGUAGCGGUGAAAUGCGUAGAUAUUGGGAAGAACACCGGUGGCGAAGGCGACUUGCUGGGCAGCAACUGACGCUGAGGCGCGAAAGCCAGGGGAGCAAACGGGAUUAGAAACCCGUGUAGUCC
This 427-nucleotide ribosomal RNA is filed under the name uncultured bacterium. Its description in RNAcentral is "partial 16S ribosomal RNA". It matches the Rfam family "Bacterial small subunit ribosomal RNA", at positions 354 to 796 of the family's 1533-position model. The record is from RNAcentral.